CAGCCGUAAACUAUGCGCGUUAGGUGUAUCGGUGACCACGAGUCACCGAGGUGCCGAAGGGAAACCGUGAAACGUGCCGCCUGGGAAGUACGGUCGCAAGGCUGAAACUUAAAGGAAUUGGCGGGGGAGCACCAUAACGGGUGGAGCCUGCGGUUUAAUUGGACUCAACGCCGGGAAGCUCACCGGAUAAGACAGCGGAAUGAUUGCCGGCUGAAGACCCUGCAUGACUAGCUGAGAGGAGGUGCAUGGCGUAGACGUCU
Molecule: ribosomal RNA, 260 nt
Filed under: uncultured archaeon
Lineage: Archaea
Description: partial 16S ribosomal RNA
Rfam family: Archaeal small subunit ribosomal RNA
Source: RNAcentral